AGCAGCCGCGGUAAUUCCAGCUCCAAUAGCGUAUAUUAAAGUUGUUGCAGUUAAAAAGCUCGUAGUUGAAUUUCGGGGUUAGUAGGUUGGUCAUGCCUCUGGUAUGUACUGGUCUCACUGAUUCCUCCUUCCUGAUGAGCCUUAAUGCCAUUAAUUUGGUGUUUGGGGAAUUUGGACUGUUAACUUUGAAAAAAAUUAGAGUGUUUAAAGCAAGCUAACGUCUUGAAUACAUUAGCAUGGAAUAAUGAAAAUAGGACGUUCGAUCCUAUUUUGUUGGUUUCUAGGAUUGACGUAAUGAUUAAUAGGGAUAGUUGGGGGGCAUUAGUAUUCAAUUGUCAGAGGUGAAAAUUCUUGGAUUUUAUUGAAGACUAACUACUGCGAAAGCAUUUGCCAAGGAUGUUUUCAUUAAUCAAGAACGAAAGUUAGGGGAUCGAAGACGAUCAGAUACCGUCGUAGUCUUAACCAUAAACUAUGCCGACUAGGGAUCGGAUGAUGUUAAUUUUUAAUGACUCAUUCGGCG
RNAcentral lists this ribosomal RNA (520 nucleotides) under uncultured Glomus. RNAcentral's name for it is "SSU rRNA". It matches the Rfam family "Eukaryotic small subunit ribosomal RNA", at positions 569 to 1085 of the family's 1831-position model. Lineage: Eukaryota; Fungi; Glomeromycota; Glomeromycetes; Glomerales; Glomeraceae. The record is from RNAcentral.